RNAcentral lists this long non-coding RNA (209 nucleotides) under Polistes fuscatus (common paper wasp). Its description in RNAcentral is "uncharacterized LOC122525669, transcript variant X3". The record is from RNAcentral. Lineage: Eukaryota; Metazoa; Arthropoda; Insecta; Hymenoptera; Vespidae.
CGAGUGAGUCGUGUGUCCGGCAGUGGCCCGGACGAAGGUUGCUGCUGCUGUUCCUGUUGUUCCUGUUAACUAGUGUGUUUUAAAUUCGGUGUUCGUUCAACGCGUCCAACAACUCUGUUACUUGGAACCAACAACCAUCUCGCGAGUUCUUCUUCCUCUCCUCAAUUUUCUGAAUAUUCAAGAAAGAAUUAGAGAGAGAGAGAGAGACA